Non-coding RNA from Phrynosoma platyrhinos (Desert horned lizard), 72 nucleotides. The record is from the annotation of a GenBank genome assembly. NCBI's taxonomy places the organism in Eukaryota, Metazoa, Chordata, Lepidosauria, Squamata, Phrynosomatidae.
GCCAGUGUGGUGUGGUGGUUUGAGUGUUGGCCUACAAUUCUGGAGACCAGGGUUCGAUUCCCAGUUCAGCCA